CGCGUAGGUGGCGGUAUAAGUCAGACGUGAAAUCCCUCAGCUUAACUGAGGAAUUGCGUUUGAAACUGUAUUGCUUGAGUACAGGAGAGGAGAGUGGAAUUCCCAGUGUAGCGGUGAAAUGCGUAGAUAUUGGGAGGAACACCGGUGGCGAAGGCGGCUCUCUGGACUGUUACUGACGCUGAGGCGCGAAAGCAUGGGGAGCAAACGGGAUUAGAUACCCCGGUAGUCCAUGCUGUAAACGAUGGGCACUAGGUGUAGAGGGUUUCAACCCCUUCUGUGCCGUAGCUAACGCAUUAAGUGCCCCGCCUGGGGAGUACGGUCGCAAGAUUAAA
This 332-nucleotide ribosomal RNA is filed under the name uncultured bacterium. RNAcentral describes it as "bacterial SSU rRNA". It matches the Rfam family "Bacterial small subunit ribosomal RNA", at positions 568 to 898 of the family's 1533-position model. The record is from RNAcentral.